Molecule: non-coding RNA, 402 nt
Organism: Paramuricea clavata
Lineage: Eukaryota; Metazoa; Cnidaria; Anthozoa; Malacalcyonacea; Plexauridae
Source: the annotation of a GenBank genome assembly
GUGAAAUAAUAGUUUUCUGCAUUUGAUUUUUUGAAUUCACAUUUAGAUAUAAAAAAGUGCUAAAAGUAAGAAAAGAUUUUUUCUCCUGACAUAAAGUAGAGUUUUUGCGAGACAUGGUGGAUGUUCGGGGGAGGGGGGUUUUCUAGUUCGGACAUGAGCGACCUUAAAGCAAGUAAGACGGGGGUGCAAGAAAACCUGUUGUUUAUCAUCUAUCGUAUGAAAAUAAUACAGUUUUAGGAUCAAAAUUAACACUGGGUUUAUGAUUGAGAAAAGUUCUAGGACCCAAUUUAAAAUAGCAGUUGUCCCAGCUUGAAAUGUAAGCUACUAAGUGUUGUAUAUAAGACGUGAUAAUCUGUAUUUCGCCGUUGUAAAACAGAGCUACGGCGACGUCUAAAAUGUCCG